This 288-nucleotide ribosomal RNA is filed under the name uncultured bacterium. Its description in RNAcentral is "partial 16S ribosomal RNA". It matches the Rfam family "Bacterial small subunit ribosomal RNA", at positions 28 to 314 of the family's 1533-position model. The record is from RNAcentral.
GAUUAACGCUAGCGGCAGGCCUAAUACAUGCAAGUCGAACGGCAGCACGGGUAGCAAUACCUGGUGGCGAGUGGCGCACGGGUGCGUAACGCGUAUGCAAUCUACCUAUAACUGGGGAAUAGCCUUCCGAAAGGAAGAUUAAAACCGCAUAAUAUCACGAAGCGGCAUCGUUUUGUGAUCAAAUCUCCGGAGGUUAUAGAUGAGCAUGCGUGACAUAGCUAGUUGGUGAGGUAACGGCUCACCAAGGCUACGAUGUCUAGGGGGUCUGAGAGGAUGAUCCCCCACACU